This 72-nucleotide transfer RNA is filed under the name Marmota monax (woodchuck). Its description in RNAcentral is "tRNA.Ala". Lineage: Eukaryota; Metazoa; Chordata; Mammalia; Rodentia; Sciuridae. The record is from RNAcentral.
UGGGGUUGGGCUCAGCGGUAGAGUGCUCGCCUAGCACAUGUGAGGCCCUGUGUUUGAUUCUCAGCACCACAU